RNAcentral lists this transfer RNA (77 nucleotides) under Candidatus Sulfopaludibacter sp. SbA6. RNAcentral's name for it is "tRNA-Val". It matches the Rfam family "tRNA". Rfam says of the family: Transfer RNA (tRNA) molecules are approximately 80 nucleotides in length. Their secondary structure includes four short double-helical elements and three loops (D, anti-codon, and T loops). Lineage: Bacteria; Pseudomonadati; Acidobacteriota; Terriglobia; Bryobacterales; Solibacteraceae. The record is from RNAcentral. RNAcentral also lists the same sequence under 1 other name.
GGGCUCGUAGCUCAGUUGGUUAGAGCGCAACCUUGACACGGUUGAGGUCCGGCGUUCGAGUCGCCGCGAGCCCACCA